This 220-nucleotide ribosomal RNA is filed under the name uncultured bacterium. Its description in RNAcentral is "partial 16S ribosomal RNA". It matches the Rfam family "Bacterial small subunit ribosomal RNA", at positions 99 to 334 of the family's 1533-position model. The record is from RNAcentral.
CAAACGGGUGAGUAAUGCGUAAGAAUCUACCUUGAAGAGGGGGAUAACUCUUGGAAACAAGUGCUAAAACCCCAUAAGCCUUUGGGUGAAACAGUGUUCACUGCUUCAAGAGGAGCUUACGUCUGAUUAGCUAGUUGGUGAGGUAAUGGCUCACCAAGGCGACGAUCAGUAGCUGGUCUGAGAGGACGAUCAGCCACACUGGAACUGAGACACGGUCCAG